GAUGAACGCUGGCGGCGUGCUUAACACAUGCAAGUCGAGCGAGAAUUAAGUGGCGGAAGCUUAGGCAGAAGAAACUUAAGGAAAGCGGCGGACGGGUGAGUAACGCGUGGGUAACCUUCCUUAUACAGGGGGAUAACAUAUUGAAAAGUAUGCUAAUACCGCAUAAGACCACAGGGUCGCAUGACCUGGUGGUAAAAACUCCGGUGGUAUAAGAUGGACCCGCGUCUGAUUAGCUAGUAGGUGAGGUAGAGGCUCACCUAGGCGACGAUCAGUAGCCGACCUGAGAGGGUGAUCGGCCACAUUGGGACUGAGACACGGCCCAAACUCCUACGGGAGGCAGCAGUGGGGAAUAUUGCACAAUGGAGGGAACUCUGAUGCAGCGACGCCGCGUGAAGGAAGAAGGUUUUCGGAUCGUAAACUUCUAUCAGCAGGGAAGAAAAUGACGGUACCUGACUAAGAAGCCCCGGCUAACUACGUG
This 478-nucleotide ribosomal RNA is filed under the name uncultured bacterium. RNAcentral describes it as "bacterial SSU rRNA". It matches the Rfam family "Bacterial small subunit ribosomal RNA", at positions 28 to 507 of the family's 1533-position model. The record is from RNAcentral.